GACGAACCGUGCGAACGUUGUUCGGAUUCACUGGGCUUAAAGGGCGCGUAGGCGGGCUCGCCAGUCUGUGGUGAAAGCCCCCGGCUCAACCGGGGAAGUGCCGUGGAUACUGUGAGUCUUGAGGAGGGUAGGGGCGUCUGGAACGCUGGGUGGAGCGGUGAAAUGCGUUGAUAUCCAGCGGAACUCCGGUGGCGAAGGCGAGGCGCUGGACCCUUUCUGACGCUGAUGCGCGAAAGCCCAGGGGAGCAAAGCGGG
This 255-nucleotide ribosomal RNA is filed under the name uncultured bacterium. RNAcentral describes it as "partial 16S ribosomal RNA". It matches the Rfam family "Bacterial small subunit ribosomal RNA", at positions 524 to 777 of the family's 1533-position model. The record is from RNAcentral.